RNAcentral lists this ribosomal RNA (397 nucleotides) under uncultured bacterium. RNAcentral describes it as "partial 16S ribosomal RNA". It matches the Rfam family "Bacterial small subunit ribosomal RNA", at positions 360 to 774 of the family's 1533-position model. The record is from RNAcentral.
AAUAUUGCACAAUGGGGGAAACCCUGAUGCAGCGACGCCGCGUGAGCGAAGAAGGCCUUCGGGUCGUAAAGCUCUGUCCUAAGGGAAGAAACGGACGGUACCUUAGGAGGAAGCCCCGGCUAACUACGUGCCAGCAGCCGCGGUAAUACGUAGGGGGCGAGCGUUAUCCGGAAUUAUUGGGCGUAAAGGGUACGUAGGCGGCUAUAUAAGUCAGGUGUGAAAUACCAGUGCUUAACACUGGAAUUGCAUUUGAAACUGUGUAGCUUGAGUGCAGGAGAGGAAAGUGGAAUUCCUAGUGUAGCGGUGAAAUGCGUAGAUAUAGGAAGGAACACCAGUGGCGAAGGCGACUGCCUGGACGAUAACUGACGCUGAGGCACGAAAGCUAGGGGAGCAAACA